This 40-nucleotide transfer RNA is filed under the name Coregonus sardinella (least cisco). RNAcentral's name for it is "partial tRNA-Met". The record is from RNAcentral. Lineage: Eukaryota; Metazoa; Chordata; Actinopteri; Salmoniformes; Salmonidae.
AGUAAGGUCAGCUAAAUAAGCUUUUGGGCCCAUACCCCAA